CCCAAUGAACGAAUCAUCAUCGCUCGUCUUUCUCGGCGAAUCGGACGCGAUGAGACUCUCCGAUCGCGGAACCUAAUUCCGUCGAAAGUUCCUUCGAUCGGCAGAGAAUGAGCUCCAGGGCCCGUAAUCUCACCUUCAAGCUCGUUCUCCUCGGUGACGGAUACUGCUGGACAGGAACAUUUCCAUGCCUUGGGCCCUAUAUACUAUUGUGAUGCAGAUGGCAUGUAUCUUAUAAACACAACAGUGCUUUUAGACUAUGACGUCACAGAUACUGAUACUUUUCUUCGAGUUAGAAAGUGGGUUAAGGAACUUCAGCAGAUGGCAUCAAACAAUAUAGUCAUGGUCAUUGCAGCAAAUAAAAGCGAUUUAAUCAGAUCAAAGAAGUAUGAUAUUCAAGAAGCUGAAAGGAUUGUUGCAGAAGAAAAAAAACAGUGCCCAGGGCUCAUCACCUGCUCAACCAAGAAAAGGGAUUAUUGUUGUAGAUGAUGAACCAGAGAGAGAACCCCCACCAAAGUGUUGCUCAUAGCAUUGAUGUUCCAGAUUUUUACAAGUAACCACAGGAGCAGUAGUAGUGUGAAUAUUGGCGUCUGCUAUGUCGAGGGUGAUCCAACAGUAGGAAAUCUAGGCCUCGUGUAUCUUCACUAACCUGGACAGAUUACCAGAAAUUAUUCGCAUCAACAGUAUUAUCUGCUGUGUGUCCCUCGAGAAAUGUUGUGUUAUUUGGUGUCUACAUCUCCAAGGUGAAGUCAGCUUCAACUGUUCUAAACUUCCGUCCUCUCCAUCGGCCCAUUUAGUUCAACAAGAAUAGAUGUCUUUAGCUGAUAUAUGUUUUAUAAGACGUACAUUACCAUUACUUUAAUGCUAAAUCCAAUUAUUCCUUUGUUUUGAUCUUUAAGCAGUUAAAUAUGCACGGAAAGAUUGCACACCAUUAUGUGCCUCUGAAUGCUUUUGCUUUCUUGCAGAUUCACAGCCAUGUUUCUCAUGUAUCUUUAUAUGCUUUUGAUGACUCAGUUGUUGAUGGUAUUUUGUUGUUAUCGUAUUAAGAUGCAGCAGAAACAAAAAUAAAGCAACAAAACAGAAGUAUUAUUAGUAUUAUCAUUAUUUUUUUGGAUGCGGAAAGCGGUUUGGCUCGCUGCUUUCCACCACGUUAUAUUAUGUAGCAACGAGCUAAGGUGGUUGCGGUCCCUCUCUCCCUAUUCCUCUUCCAAGAAUCCUUCGAGUGAUUUGAUUGAUCUCCAAGAAAGCCUCCUCCCCAUCAAUGGCUUCCCUCUCCGGUCUCACGCUCAUCACUGAUAUCUUCCACUGCCUCGGGGAGCUACUCUCACAUGUCGGGGUCUCGUUUCUGAGCACGGCGAGCGGGUUUUCCCUCCGAUCUCGCAUGCUCCACGCGCCCCCAUCGGAGACCUUCUGUCGCGGCUGACGAGGAGGCGAAGAAAAUGCUAGCGAAGGAGAAGGGAAGACCUUCUUUGAGGGUCGGGGAUCAUCUGGCAUUGCAUCUCGCUGAAUCCAGCGCGAUCUGUUUCAUCAAUGGUCGAUUGUUGUUUCAUUGAGGGUUUUCUUGAUCGUAUACAGGUCGAUCGUACUUUCUCCGAGGGUUUUCUUGGUCUUACAGACUCUGAUCGAUCUUUCUUUAUGGCUUUUCUUGAUCUUAUAGAGGUUGGUCAUCCUUCCUUUCUGGGGUUUCUUGGAUCUUUACACUGGUUGAUUGUUCUCUCUUUGAGGCUUUCCGUGAUCUUAUCCAGGUCGAUUGUUCUUGCUUCGAGGGUUUUGUGUAUCAUUCGCAGGUGCUUUCCUUGUGGGUUUUCUUAAUCUUGUACAGGUCGAUCGUUUUUUCUUCGCAGGUUUCUUGAUCUUACAAGGAUGAUUUCAGAGUGUGUUGCGCCAUCUCCUUUUGCACAUUCUUUGCGUUCGGAUGGAACGUGCAGGGACGGCUCGGCUUCGGUAACAUGUAUGUUUAUACAUCACACCACUAGUUUUUGCUCCUCUGAUGUGGUCCAACAAUAACAACUCAUAGGAGACUUUGAUUUGAUCUAUAAGCGCUUGAUAAAUACAUUAGCUUUAACUGGCGUUUAAACAUUUUUGAUGAACCAACCUCGUAUUAGAUAAGUCCAAAUGGGGAAGGGCCUGUUCAUCACCUAGUUUAAUCUCAGAUAAACAGUUGGAGGAGACUUAAAUUAGUUCAUAUAUGAUUGAUGAAUGUUCUAUCAUUAACUUAAUUUAAUGUUCAAGCUAAUUAGAUUAUUGGAUUAUUAUCAUAUAUAUUGUGGGGAUAACCGGCAAGUUUAGACCAUGCAAACUCAUGCUGAUCAACGGAAGUUUAGACCAGAGUUCUGUAAGAUACAUCAUUCACACUAUUUGGGAACGGUAGCUGGUAAGAGCUCCUUUGCAACUUAAUUUUGGUAUUAUAUAUAUAGAAAAUCUGUGGCUUUGGAUAACGUGCUUUCCAAUUGUUGACAGGAUCUGCCUCCCAAUAGUUAGUGGAAUUCAAUGAAAUCAUGUGAACUAUUCCUUGUACCUUAACAAGUACCUGCAAAGAUUCUGGCAUUGGUUCCUGCAAGAAACGAUGUGCAUGGAUAGUUUUCUUUACAUUUCCAACUCCAUCAUCAGAUGGGCUUCCUCCUUUUCCGACCGUCUAUUUCGGCUGCGUCGGAGGAGAAGACAAUGGAACAAAUUACGUGUCAUGUCAUGGAGAAGACGUCUUCACAUCAUUACCAUAUUAAUGGGGAUGGAUACAGCGGGCAUUAAACCUCGUCGCUGCAUGCAUAUUAAUGAGAUGCAAACGUGGAAAGCACACAGAAUUGUGGUGGAUGCUGAUGAUGCACCAUCCAGAUUUUGAUGAGAGUUCUUUUACAGCAUCUGAUCAGGAUUGCGUUGUUCCCGUCGAGGAGGAGCCAAGUAAUAGGAACAGAUUCCAAUGAGUCGAGGCAAUUCCCCGCCUACCAGAGGUCCCCUUAGUCAAGAGACGCAGAAACGGCACGUCCUAUUGGCUGCAUUCUCGGUCGACGUGGAGAACGCGAUCUAACCAAUAAUCUUUCCUUCGUCCGACAUGACUCUGGUCUUCGUCUCCAGCCGUGGGGAAGGAUUCCUAAACAGUGACUGGUGGUAGAAUCCUAAGGAAUGCAGAGUUUCGGUGGGGCCCGUUGGACGUGGAUGCAUGCUUUCUUAGACCUGUCUCAAGAGGCUGCUACCGGAGCUGGCUAACAGCAACCGAGAAGGAGGAGAGAUACUGGAGGGGCCAGAGGCGAAGAACAACGCGGUGGUGCGAGAGUUGUAUGAGGCCAUAAACCGACGGGACGUCGCAAGAGUGCACCGGCUGCUGGCGCCGGACCUCGAGUGGUGGUUCCAUGGCCCGCCCGAGCGCCAGCACCUGAGGCGCCUGCUCACCGGCGAGGAAGAGGAGGGUGACAUCGUCACCUUCCAGCCCGGUCCCCAGGAGGUCGCCGCCUUCGGCUCCAUCGUGCUCGCCGAGGGCUGCGGCCCCGGCGCGGUGGUGUGGAUCCACGCCUGGACCGUCGGCCCCGGUGGGGUCAUCACCCAGGUCCGGGAGUACUUCAAUACCUCCCUCACCGUCACCCGACUCGGCGGCGACUCGGCCCCGGCACCCACCGACGGUUCCGCUGGGUCGACUCAGUGCUGCCUGCCCGUGUGGCAAAGCAGACUGCACCGGCGUGCCCCGAAGUCACUUCCUGGGCUUGUGCUCGCCAUAUGAAUGCAUAUGACCAGUUAAGCUCGACACGAACAAAUAGUUCGAGUCUGUUUGGUUUGCACCACUGUCGUUAUUGAGUCCAGGGUUUGGUCUGUAGGAGUCUCUUUGGGUGUGUCACAGUAGUAGGUUGUGUGGUCUUUUUGCAUGUCAUAGGGUGUGGUCUGUGUCUCUUCGUUGCGCGAUGGACAUUUGCUUGGUUGCUUAUCGAAUAAAAGAUGUGUUAGUGGUGAUUCAUAAGAA
Molecule: RNA transcript, 3946 nt
Organism: Musa acuminata AAA Group (dessert banana)
Lineage: Eukaryota; Viridiplantae; Streptophyta; Magnoliopsida; Zingiberales; Musaceae
Exons: 8
Source: RefSeq, a predicted model, not a curated record